AAACUAACCAUGCAUCGCAUGAAUCAUCGAGGGACUACUUUCUCAGCAGAAGCGGAAUUCUACUAUGCGCUGGUUAGGUUUGUAACCGAAUCACGACAGAAGAACGUAAACAGAGAAGCGUGGGACAGAAGCGCAAUUGAUGUGUGGGAAUCUCGAUUGCAUAAUUUCUGGUAGUGGGGGACUGCGUUCGCGCUCUCCCCUG
Small nuclear RNA from Gadus morhua (Atlantic cod), 202 nucleotides. Its record names the gene U1. It matches the Rfam family "U1 spliceosomal RNA". Rfam says of the family: U1 is a small nuclear RNA (snRNA) component of the spliceosome (involved in pre-mRNA splicing). Its 5' end forms complementary base pairs with the 5' splice junction, thus defining the 5' donor site of an intron. Lineage: Eukaryota; Metazoa; Chordata; Actinopteri; Gadiformes; Gadidae. The record is from Ensembl.